This 253-nucleotide ribosomal RNA is filed under the name uncultured bacterium. RNAcentral's name for it is "partial 16S ribosomal RNA". It matches the Rfam family "Bacterial small subunit ribosomal RNA", at positions 524 to 776 of the family's 1533-position model. The record is from RNAcentral.
UACGAAGGGGGCUAGCGUUGCUCGGAAUUACUGGGCGUAAAGGGCGCGUAGGCGGACAGUUUAGUCAGAGGUGAAAGCCCAGGGCUCAACCUUGGAAUUGCCUUUGAUACUGGCUGUCUUGAGUUCGGAAGAGGUGAGUGGAAUGCCGAGUGUAGAGGUGAAAUUCGUAGAUAUUCGGAGGAACACCAGUGGCGAAGGCGACUCACUGGACCGAUACUGACGCUGAGGCGCGAAAGCGUGGGGAGCAAACAGG